GAUGAACGCUGGCGGCGUGCCUAAUACAUGCAAGUCGAGCGAACAGACGAGGAGCUUGCUCCUCUGACGUUAGCGGCGGUCGGGUGAGUAACACGUGGAUAACCUACCUAUAAGACUGGGAUAACUUCGGGAAACCGGAGCUAAUACCGGAUAAUAUAUUGAACCGCAUGGUUCAAUAGUGAAAGACGGUUUUGCUGUCACUUAUAGAUGGAUCCGCGCCGCAUUAGCUAGUUGGUAAGGUAACGGCUUACCAAGGCAACGAUGCGUAGCCGACCUGAGAGGGUGAUCGGCCACACUGGAACUGAGACACGGUCCAGACUCCUACAGGAGGCAGCAGUAGGGAAUCUUCCGCAAUGGGCGAAAGCCUGACGGAGCAACGCCGCGUGAGUGAUGAAGGUCUUCGGAUCGUAAAACUCUGUUAUUAGGGAAGAACAAAUGUGUAAGUAACUAUGCACGUCUUGACGGUACCUAAUCAGAAAGCCACGGCUAACUACGUG
This 497-nucleotide ribosomal RNA is filed under the name uncultured bacterium. RNAcentral's name for it is "partial 16S ribosomal RNA". It matches the Rfam family "Bacterial small subunit ribosomal RNA", at positions 28 to 507 of the family's 1533-position model. The record is from RNAcentral.